CUUAGGCUUUGGACUAAAGUGACAAAUAGUAGUGUGCUCUCACUCAGUGGAUUUAUCAAAGCUGCAGUGACUGGACUAGAUAGAAAAACUGAAUGUGUUUCGGACAGACAAACUGAGGGUGGUUGAUUCUUUAGCUGCCUAGAACUGUUGAGUGAGCGGCCAUGUACAGGACCGGAAAUACCUUGAAUAACUUGACUAAUGAGUUAUAUGUCAAGUGGUUUGAAGCUCUGCCCAGCAUUGGCAGGGACAGACAGCAGCCUUGCUCAGGUCAUCAACUACAAUUUGACAGCAAACCUGCAGCUGCAUGGCUUAGUAAGUAGCAAACCUCUUGCCUAUAUAUGGAGGUAACUGUCGAAGAAGUGUGCACUGAUCUGUCCCUUCAUCCUCGACUAUUUCACCAAAGUUGUCUUUGUUUUUGUUGACAGGCAGUCACAAAACAGUGAAAAUCAUCAUGGAAGGAGACAUAAGUGGGAUUCACGUGACCCAAAGAACACACCAAUGAAAAAUCAAGUUACAAAUCCCUCAUCUCUGCAUUUUGGGUUUCAUAUAGAGCCUGCAUUGUGCACCCCUGAACAAGCAAAAUGUGUCCAACAUUUACUCAAUGCCAUGCACUUAAGAUUAUGCACUUUAAAUCAUUCAGAUGGAGCCCCUUGUUUGUGUUUUUGGGCGCCUAAUGGGGAAAAAGUUUGAAUUUGCCUUUCUGUGAAAACAUUUACAUUAGCGAUGCUUAUGAUGUGCAGUUUUUGUGCAGCUCUGUCUGCCACCACCCGUUUUUACCAUUAGGAGUUUGAUAUCCCUGCUAGUUUCAGGUAAUGCUGAUAUCAGUAAUUGUGCAUUCCCACUGAAAUCAAGCAUUUGUCCAAAAUUUUCGCAGCACACCUCUAUCGGUCACAUGUCUAGAUCCGAGCAUUCUUUUCAAUCAAAUCAGCACUCCACAAUAUUUAUUUACUCACUUUUUUCUCAAAGUGACUAGUUAUGAUCUAAUGAGAAAGAAAGCUGCCAAAAACCAGCACUCUGGUCCACUCCACUGACGGUUCAGGAAACUGAGGUUUAAGGGAGACAGGGAUCCUCCUGUUCCAGCUGCAGCUGCUCGGCCCAGAGCAGUUUAACUUUAUUUGGGUUAAAGUUUCCCCCAUCUAUCAAUGCCAUUUACCAGAUUUCUUUGUUAUGAAUGAAUCUCUUCUGUUCUCUUUUUGUUUGGUUGGCUCCAGGGUCCAUGACGGAAAACAGAGAAAUUCACUUUGUAGUUUUUCCCCUUUUGUCAAUGAUUUAUGCAAUUAAACCAAGACAUAAAAGGGCAAAACAAGUUUGGCUUUAAUUUCAUCCUUCAGAAAACCAUGUUUAAAUAUCACUUUUCACUUCUUAACAUCUCCAGGUGAGCCCCCAGUGACCUCAACCUGAGAGCUGUGGCCAAGUGUGUCUAAAUGUAAAGUGACGUCUCAAUCUAUAACAAAGAUACCAGCAGUAAUGGUUAACAUGCUUCCAUUUCUCUGCGUUUAGUGUAAGAAAUGGUCCCUAAAUUGGACACUCAUCUACUAUUUAAGUCUCAUUGUGUGAUGAACUUAACCUCCAAUGAAGUGGCAUACCACAGAGAAAGACUGUGCAGCAAAGUGUGAAAUAAGACAUCACAGAAAAAUGACUCAACCUCAACUAUUCAGGGCUGAAUUAAUGUUUGACAAAGUAGUCAGAGCUAACAUCUGCUGCUGUAAUUAGAUUAAACUCAUCCCAUUCAUACUGGCGGAGACGAGGGGCAGCACGGUCUCUGCAGUGAGAGGUCUGCAUGUUAAAAAAUCUGAAGGCUACAUUUUUUGUGUAAAGAAAGGAGCAGACAUAAUCCUCUCUGACUGGAGCCUUCAGGCAGACUUCACUUUGUUUCUCCAUAAUCAGCAACAAUGCUGCAAAAACAACGGGAAAGUGAGGGAACCAAAAAAGCUUCAUGAGACGGUGAAAUGCAAGAAUGGAUCAUGUAAUUAGAUCAGUUCAUGGGGCACCACUGCAACUUAGCCAAUCAGAAAACCCAUAAUACUUUUUCUAACUUGCUUUUUUUGUCAAGAAUUUCGUAAGAAUGUCAGAUAUGAAGUUCAAGUUAAGACUCAUUUCAGCUAUUCAUCUCAUACGCAUACUGAUACAAAGAUGUAAAGUUCUGUCUGCACUUUCCAAACAUUUUGUCUGUUUUUCUUCACAUUUGCUGGGUGGUUUCUGAUCAUGUGCAGCAGCACCUGAAAUUGUGAAGUAAUUUGCAAAGUGUUUGACUUUCAAAAAGUUUCACCCUUGUACUGAUGCAUCUCAAUAACCUCUGAAUGGAAACUCCAUAGUAAAAGGAAAUUAUCAGCAGAGAGGUGUUUUUUUUCCCCCUUUAAAGGAUAUUCUGACGUAAACUUAAGUCAUGGUCAAACACACCGUAACACCGAGUUAGACACCACCUCCAGAGAUGAAUGUUGCUGGCUGCUUGCUUCUCUAGUUAUACCAACUUUAGUAAUGACCACAAGAUAGCAAUACACAGCGGACUGUGGAGCCAUAAACAAACCUCAACCAAAGAGCCACUCUAUAGCCACCAAUAAUGCUCAGAACAGCACCUAACUUUAUCAGCAGUACAUAUAGGGUCCCAGCUAUAGUACUAGCCACCAAACAUCUUUUUAGCUUUGCCUGAUUUUUUUAGCAAAGAGACUAAACACAACUCACCUACUCUUGUCUAGCAGCUGCUUGUUUGUGAGCCCUGACGAGUCGAUCACCGAGUGCAGCAGAUAAUUUCCAUGAAGUAAUGGUAGUUAUUCUGCCUUAGCGUCUCAGUCUGAUUGUCAUGAAUGUUCUUCCUUGAGCUGUGAAACUCGUCAGGGCUCCCCCACAAACAAGUGGUUGCUGGAGGAGAGUUAUCCAUUUUAAUAGUGUGUGUGUGUGUGUGUGUGUGUGUGUGUGUGUGUGUGUGUGUGUGUGUGUGUGUGCCUGUGUGUGUGUGUGUGUUUUAAAGUAUACCAACACCUCUAAAAAAAUUUACAUAAUGUUAUAGAAAAACUACGAAAAGUGGCAACACCAAACAUCAUCAGACAGUUGCAGUUAUUAACGAGUGGAGGUAAAUUACCAACCAUGUCUGUUGGCUUACUGCAGGCACAUCUGACCUCAGUCAUUUUACCUGGAAAUGCAAAGCCCUUUUCUGCUAAGAAUCGACACUGAGGAGUCAAACUACCACCCUACAAGAUGUAUUAAGUAAGAAAUGCAUCACAAUAUACUUUAAAUGCACAAUCUGGCCAAGAAAAACUGUAAAAUAAAAUGAAAUAUUAGUUAUGGUGGCAUUAUUGGUUGGUGUGUAGACACAGCUCACUUCUAAGAUUAAAAAGAAAAAAAAGUAUGAAAACAUCAAUUUAUACGACAUCCAUUAGUUUCAGGAUAAGUAAAAGCGCCUUGAUAUUUUAAUGCCGUGAUCCUUUAAUUCUGUUGUGCUUCGGUUCUUACCCUCCUUCCUGUUAUCCUACCUCUGAGGUGUUUUCAGGAGCUGGCAGUUAGCGAGCUUAGCUUGGCACAAAGCCAUGAAACAAAUAUCCAGCCCGGCACCAUCCCAAAGAAAUAAAACUCUGGCACCUCCAAACUCACCAAUUAACACAUCAUGCCGUUUCUGUUUACUCUGUGCAAAACAGGCAUAUUUAAAGCUCAGCUAAACUGAGAUUAAUGUCUCAGAUUUAUAAUCACCCCUUAGAGCUCAGAGAUGAGAGCUAUUUUAUAUCUAACUGUAAGCACAGAAAAGCAGAAUGUCAAAUAUUUUACAGACUCUUUAUUCAGUCCUUUUGGAGAGCAUUAUCAGUCACUGGAAAAUACACCCUGCGCAUUCAACCAAAUAAUAUCAUGUUCACGCUUCAGCUUCUUCCUCUCUAGUGCUGAAAGGUGAUAUCAAGAACUAACUCAUGAAGCUGCAUGUGGUACACAUUCUUCAACCUACUUUUCUCCUAUUAAUGACUGAUAUUUCUGCUCUCAGAGAGUGGAAACUGAAUAUCAUCCAGUUGAUGUGACAGAGCCGUAAAGUGUGAUUUAUGUUUCAAAGGUCUAAUUGGCAGCAUUUCCUCUGUCUCGAGGCUGCAGCAGUCAGAUAUUUGACAUAUCUGAAAACCUUGGGAGAUAUAUACUUGGCCUUAAACGGCGCUGGCUGGUCUCAGAUAAUUUAUCUUUGUCUUGAGCUCCCACUGAAAAAAGAGCAAGCCUGCUUCUGUGGCUAACUGUAUUUCUCUUUGGAAAUAUCGAUUUACGCAGUUCAGCAGAACAAUGUCUUGACGGAAAUUUUUUAACGGAGAAAAAGAAAACAAUAAAAAGGUUAUAGAUGCAGGCGGUUUAGGAACAGCUCGUAUAACUUUACUCCAAACUAUAUUUUUUCCAGCCUUUUUAUAUAAAAUCAAAAUAUAUUAUGCUAUAAAAUGUCACGCACUGUAAUUGGAGACAGGCAGCAAUCAUUCCCGGGGACAUUUUUAAUAGAAGAAGUCCACACAAACUGCAGAUUUCAUCUUUCCUGUUGCUCUGUGGCUCCAAUUCUUGUGGUUCUCAAAUGUCUUAACAACUGUAAUUUGCCACAGACAUCCCUCCUCUUCUGUUAUCUUUUAGCCUUUCUUGCAGCAACAUUGAAUUCCUGUUUGUCAAAUACUUUGGCUAUAGUGAACAAACUUAGAAUAAUGCCUCAAACCGCUGCUGUGUUCUAUGUUCAACAAGAAAAUAUAAGCUCUCUUGCACUGUAUCCUUUUAAAAUAGAAAAGCCUGUAAAAUACCAGCAGGUUAGCAAUGAGAGUAUGUUAGCAGCAGAAGUCUCAUAGAAAUGUUUGCACCAUUUUAAAGUCCAAGCACAAGUGAAAUCAUUAGCAUGAAUAAAUAACAUGUUAAGUCAAUGCAAAGACGCAAUAAGACACUCAUACCAUUCUGGCGGCGCAAAUUCAGCAGGCGCAAAUCCGCGAGAGUUGAAAUAUCUCAACUUGCACCAAUAUUUGCAAUGCAAUAACCAAUCAGCAUGAAGAUUCCUGGGUGAUAUAUGAAAAUGGACCAGAAGAUAUUCACUUGUGUGAAAAUAUAUACACAAAUCCUUUUACUCACAGUGGACAGAUGGACAGGAGCUCUGCAUAUAAGGAUAGAGCGCCUGCAAUUGGUAUUCUGAAGGGAUAUCCUGGCACCGACCCUUUCCAACAAGUCAUCAAAUUGGGUUCGGGUAACCCGAAAGUACUGCUGAAAACAGCCGUCAUCCUGGCGCAGCUAUUGGAGGAGACCCAGACAAGGCGAUGCCUAUGGUUGUGGGCCUCCACAACAAAAAUAAAGCAGCAAUCUCACGCUUAAUGGAGACUCUCCCCCUCUCUCAUAUCCACAGCUUUUUUAACAAACAAGAAUAAAAAAGGAGCUCAUCUGAAGGAAAGUGAGAGAAGAGGUUGGAUUAUCUGAUAAAUUGUAAAAAACCAUUGUCUAUCACUUGACCCUGCCAGUUGAAUUGGCAAGGAUCACUGUUGAAAUUAGCAUAAACAGUUAUUCAGGGCCUUAAAGCACUCAGUUGACGUACAAAACAUUCGGACACUACGAAUGAAGCGAGUAAAUACUUCUCAUUCACGCAUCUAGACACACACGAAUUAGAGUAGAUGAUAUUACUUGCGCUUGGUGUGAACGCCCCAUUAGUCUUUAUAAGUAAAUAUUCAUCAUGUCUUAUCAAUUUGCAUUCAGAACUUAGCUUUGGUAUCAUUUCUAGCCUUUCCAGCCCUUUAUAACAUCAAGACUUGGGUCUGCAUUUGAUUGAGAACGAUGUUGAUUAAUCUUGAGCCUGGCUCGUUCAUAGUUAAGACUGCUACAGCCUCAUGCUUAUUCUGUCGCUUGGCUUUUCGGACACACCAAUCUGCCUCCUCUUGCUCCUCUCCCUGUCCCCCUCUCUCCACCUGCUGUAGCACAUCUUUGUGUUCCCAAACCAAAAUCUGAGCGAAGAAUGAAGAGAAAGUGAGAGCUGUUGAGGGGAGGGGCCAUGCACAAGGUGAAAAGGGGGAAAUGUAGUAAGUCAGCAAUUUCCAAUAUGGUGCCACCAUCUUUAGUCUUCUUUUGCGCCUUUCCAGUAACCAGUAAAUGAUGGCGCUGAGACUACAGACAUCCAUGUUUUACACACAUGAGAGUUAAUGCUCCUGUGUAAAACAAUGCUUCGAAUUUCCCAUCUACUCUGACUUUCAUUUCUUUGUGAUCAAAGGUUGUGUGACAAAGUUACAGCGCUAUAAAAUGCAAUAUUUGCAUUUUAAGUUCCAUUUCAAUGAUUUACACUUCCCAUUGAUCUGUUUCCACACUGCUCAGUUUUAUGGACUCUCUCAGUCAUUAUGAACCACAUUUCCCUCCUGAGUGACCUCCUGUAAACAGCAUUGCGCUUAAUUCAUUGAAAGCUGUAACUUUUGCAGCCCUAAUCCAAAUUAUUCACAGUUCUGUCACUGCUGUGUUAUGCAAACAUGCAGCACAUGUCAGCUCCAUAAAUCUUAAUGCAGUGUCUGGAUUGGGGAAUUAUCUGAACACAGAGAGAAAACAAGCAAAGCCUUUUAGCUGUUGAGGCAAUAUUGAUUUGAUUUGCUUUCUGUACAAGAAAUUCAUUGAUGCACGCUGUCUUCUCCGGAGAGUGAUAUUAGUUUCCCUCAGGAGGGAUGGAUCCUGUCCGAGCCAGGCGUAAAGAAUUGGCUCCAGACGCAGCAGCAGCGUGGGCCCCUUCGUGAAUGUAUAACAUGUUAUUAAAGCAGAGAAAGUUGUUACAGGACUGUUUCUCUUGAUGGUUACCCAAAGCUAUCCAGUUCUGUGGUCACAGGAAGAGCAUUUAUUUCUCGCGUUUCUCUGAGCAGUGAGGCAGCUGACGACACUAAACCCUCGUCUCGCUUUCUACGCUCGCUUGCUCGUUCUAUUCAGUUUCACUCUCUAGAAACUGCCAGCUCAGCUACUCUCAUUUUAUAAAACCCACAGUUUCACUCCAAGAACAGUUUGUUCUGCAAGAACCAGCCAGAGGGAAUGUUUUUUUUUCGACUGAAACUUCUCAUGCAUGCUUGAAAAAAUCUGAAUAAUUGAUCAGUCUGGGAAAAUGCCUUUUGUUGUGGGAAGAUUUUAGUGAGAAGCUGCUUUCGUUUUACUGUUAUUGAACUACACUACCCAGAAAUCACAGUAUGAAGUUAAUGUGAGGUCUCUGUAGGCUACUAAUGCUUAUAGUAAAAGAAAUGUUGUUUUACCAAAUGCUGGGUUAGGGUUAGUAUUAAAUUAUGUUUAAUAUUACAAAAAGACAAAUGCUUAGCACAUUAUAAAGAAGAAAAGUGACCACUAUAUGUAAAAACAGAAAUAAAGUAAACCAAAUAAAAGUGAGAAAAAAACAAGGUACAGGUAAAGCUAAAGCACAAAGACAGGUCACUUUUGAAAAUGUAUAUUUUGAUGAAUCCACUGGUUUAAAGAUUUAAAAAGAAAAAAAAAACACUCAGAAAUCAAUCGAGAUUAAGCUCAGUUUAAUAAAAACAGCUAUACAUGACAUUUCGGAGUCUGCGCAUAAAUCAUAUCAUUGUUUUUAGCAGAGCAAGCAUCAGCCUUCAGUCUUCAUUUGUGUACUUGAUUAACCAAACACAAAUCAAGGUGACAGGAAAUAUAAGCGAAAAACAUAUUCUGUUGUCAAAACUUUCAGAUUGUCACUAAACAGAAUGAAAUCACUAGUGAUACCUCGUGUGAUCAUUAGCAACUGGACAGACAGUUUGCGUUAUGUCAUUUUUUAUUCCUGUUACCACAAUAAAAGAGUAGGUAUAAAACAGAGAUGACUUUUAAAAAAACUGUUGCCAUGCAAAAAAAACAAAAAAAAAAAAAAGAAUGACAUAAAAAAAAAACCUCACAUAUACAAAGAAUAUGAUUAGCAAAAAAAUACACAGUAACAGUUUGUCCAAAGUCAAAACAUGGAAAGUUCCUUAGAUUUAAAUGCACUCUUGAGGUUUGUCUCUUUACAAUGCUCAUCCUCACAGACGCUGCAAGAUCCUGCACACAUGGAAACAAAACUGUACAUUCCUGCAAAUACUACAGUUCUUUCAUACACACACAUACAAAGAAAAAAGUAUUAAUGAGGUAUUAAUGACUUUUUUACUUGGUGUCAUUUUGUUUACUUUUUCUUCUUUUAUGUCAGUGUCAUGUUUUGUACAAAACACAGUUUCUUUAACAGGUAAACUUUCUGCAUUUUUAAUAUAUUCCGUUAUUAUGUGAAAAUCCUGAAGUACUUUCAGACAACAGAUCCUCAAACUGGCCUGAAGCUGUUUCUUAGUCUCCAGCUCAUCAUUGUUUUCCAGCAGCUUUCUAACACUUAACACAUUUUAAUAUGUGUUUUUAUCUUGCUUUUACCCCAUAGGGGUUCUUCAGCCAUCUGAUUGUCUUUUAAAUGCAGAUUAUGCUUGUUUUUAAUUGUUUUAAAUGCAAUAUUAAAAACUUCACAAUGGUCUGUUUUGUGCAUUUCUUUGCCCCUGGUGAGCACUUUGCCUUGUGCAGA
This 8476-nucleotide long non-coding RNA is filed under the name Xyrichtys novacula (pearly razorfish). The record is from RNAcentral. Lineage: Eukaryota; Metazoa; Chordata; Actinopteri; Labriformes; Labridae.